This is a non-coding RNA of Hydra vulgaris (swiftwater hydra), 154 nucleotides long. NCBI's taxonomy places the organism in Eukaryota, Metazoa, Cnidaria, Hydrozoa, Anthoathecata, Hydridae. The record is from RefSeq and is a predicted model, not a curated record.
AUGAGAAGGAUACGUUACAAAGAUAUAUAUUUCACCAAUUUCAGCAAUUUGUUAAUUAUAACUUUUUUUUAAUGUUUAGGGGAAAUAAUGGACAAGCUAAAAAAAUUAGAAGAUUCUGUUGAGAAUCUAAAAAAAUUAGAACAUUCAAUGGGUA